AGCUUUGCGCAGUGGCAGUAUCAUAGCCAGUGAGGUUUAUCCGAGGUGCGAUUAUUGCUAAUUGAAAAAUAUGUCUCCCAGUCUGCCAUAGAUCUUUUCAUUUCCUUAAGAAGGAAGGAAACUUUUGAAGGGAGCUCCUUUUU
Small nuclear RNA from Cervus hanglu yarkandensis (Yarkand deer), 143 nucleotides. Its record names the gene U4. It matches the Rfam family "U4 spliceosomal RNA". Rfam says of the family: U4 small nuclear RNA (U4 snRNA) is a component of the major U2-dependent spliceosome. The structure of U4 snRNA from yeast and human has been reported. The record is from Ensembl. NCBI's taxonomy places the organism in Eukaryota, Metazoa, Chordata, Mammalia, Artiodactyla, Cervidae.